UAUAAAGUAUAAAUUCCUGGGCAGCAGAGAGAAAUGGCGGGACCAUGUUAGUUAAGUUCUUCACAAAGACAGUCUCAUUAGUUUUGUGUGAGAGAGUGACAGCACUGUGGAGCUCUGUGCGUGAUUCAAAAAUCUAUGAGAUAAAGAGGUAAUUUUUAUUUUAUUAAAGUCAGUUCUGGAAGAUAAAAUUGGGAGUUGGACAUCUUCAUAUGGUGAUUGCAUGGUUCAAAAUUUUCUGAUAUCUUUUUCCUUAAUUUUGAACAAGGAGAGAAUAAAAAUAUGAUGAUAUUUUUAAUAAAAUGGUAGCUGUCUGGGAUAGCUUUCCUUUUAAAAAAAGAAAAAUACUGUUUUUUAGGGGCUAUGAAUCAUCCUCUGACUUGUCCUAUAAACACCAGUCUGUGUCAUAACUCUAGCAGGCUUGGCUGGACACCGUAGGGAGGGUUGGGAAGCGUAUUUGUCAUGAGGCUCAUAACUUAUCCUGUAAAAUAUAAGAAAGGCUGGAAAUGAGUAUAAAAAUAAAAGCUAUUAUUGCACCUAUUUGUAAAUUGAUCACUCUACUUCUGUGUGUCGGAAUUAUUUAGUUUUUUAUUUGACUCUAGAUCUUAUCAAUUUGGAAGGUAUGUUAAUUUUGGAAAGAUACGUGUGAAUUAUUUCCUUAAAGUCCUUUAAAAAUACGUGGGUGAUUUUUAUUUUGCACUAUGUCUUAGAGAACUAUGGUUACUGUUAGUCUUUUAAAAAGGGAAGAAGGACUCUGCUACAUGUAAUAAUUAAACGCAAGUAUCCCAAUACUGAUCAAUUUCAAUGGCUUUAUUACCCCAGUCUGCUAUAGUGGAAAGUGAAGGAGAUGUGAAGAGUCAGAGAGGAUAAUACCAGGGAGUUUUCAAACACUGUGCUAAAUUUCUUCUAAGAGCUUUCAUUCAUUCAUUCUUCUCUUCAACAGGUAGUAUUUUGUCCACCGUGUGCCAGGCACUGUCCAUGUCACAUGGGCCAGUAAUGAAAAAAUAGCCCAAAAGCCAACACUGACAAUCUUUUCUUUCUUUUUUUUUUUUUUUUUUUUUUUUUUUUAAUUCAAGUCACUCAGCUGAUAAGUGGCAGACAGAAUUCGAACCCAGAUUACAGGGCCUGUAUAUACACAUACAUACACAUUUUCUUCUUUAUCCCAAACAGUAUUCCUCUUAAUGAAUGGGCAAUAUUUAAUUAUAAAGUAUCAAAUCUCUGAAUUAAAGAUAGGGCUAUAAUUUUUCUAAACAGGGCACAAAAGAGAACUAUAGAGACGUGGAUGCUCGGGAGGCUGAAUGUGGCUUAUAUCUAAGCAUUUAUCUCCAGCUUUUUUACACUAUAAUUUUUAUAAAGGUAGAAAUUGCUUUUGAACUGUAUACACUUGUUUGACUUACUGUGGCUUUUACCUUUCAACACUCCAAAGGAGAAGCUGUUAUUUUUUAUAAUUUCUGGAAGAGAUUUUUUUUAAAAAAACUUCAACUGUUGUAGAAUAAAUUAGAAAAGUAGUCUUCAAAAUGACUCACUUGCCACUGAGAACACGUUUAAAAUGUUCUGUCAUGAUCUUCAAUAUAAUUCAAAAUAAGUAUUUGAACGUUUAUAAUAAUAAAUAGUGUUUCUCAAAAGUGUGUAUUACACAGCGAUAAUUUUAAAAUGUACUUGGCAUCAAUUAUGUUUUGUCAUGAUGAAAUAUAUAAUGCAUAAGGUUUUAUGAGGACAAUGCCGAGAGACAGCCCAGAAUCAUGAAAAGUGGAAGUGAAGAUGAUUUUCUUCUGCCUUAAUAGGUAUAAUUGCAGGAUACAGUAUAAUACAUCUAUUCCUUUCUUCAAAGUUCUAUUUCAUUGUCUGUCUAUAAACUGUCACUCCAUGCCUGCUGCUUGACUGUUAUGUCACCCAAUCUCCUGUUCCACCUGAACAAAUUUAUGGCAAUAUGUGCUGAAGGUGCCUUUCUUUUUUUUUUUUCUGUUUUGCACUAAAGUCUAAAUUUCCUGUGCACUAGUGAAUUAGGAAUAUUUGAAGCUUACUGGUAUAAAUGUAUUUACUAUGACAAAUGUCAUAAGUGCUCUACCUGCAUAAGCAAAAGCUAAUGUCCAGAACUGACAUUUUACAUGGGAAAAAACAGGGGAUAUACUUAUAUGUGUUUCAAAAAUAGAAGUGCCAUGAUGAUUGAAUGAUGAAGGUAGCAGAUCCCAUGUGCAGAUAACUACAAAGAAAACAAAACUGUUAUUUGAAAAGUAAAUAGGAUAAAUAAUGACAAUAAAAUGAAUUAAAGUAACCACUGAAUGAUGGCAGAUUUCACAGGUGAUAUUAGAUGAUAGAUUUCAAUAUAUUCUCUAACAAUCUCCUUAAAAAUUCUAGCUUUUAAAUAAUUCACUUAACACAUUGAGUUUCUGUUACUUUCUUGUUUUGUGUUAAAAAAAUAUGGAAAUCUUUAAUAUCUAUGACUGGAGUGAAAUGCAAAUUUAAUGUUUCUUGUACCAAAUGAGUAUGAUUUGCCAUGAUGCACAAACACACAGUAAGUAAUGGAAAUAUGCAGAGUUCUCCAUCGUGGUUCAGUGGUUAAGGAACCUGACUAGUAUCCAUGAAGAUGUAGAUUCAAUCCCUGGCCUUGCUCAGCUGGUUAAGGAUCUGGUGUUGCUCUGAGCUGUGGUAUAGGUUGCAGAUGCAGCUCAGAUCCUGUGCUGCUGUGGCUGUGGUUUAGGCCUGCAGCUACAGCUCUAAUUCAACCCCUAGCCAGGGAACCUCCAUUUGCCAGAGGUACAGCCCUAAAAAGACAAAAAAGGCCAAAAAAGAAAAUAUGCAAACCUUCAACAUUUGCUUUGUAAUAUUUUGCCAGUAAGAAUACUCUUAAACUACAGGCAAAACAACAUUUGAUAGUAUUUACAGCAUUCACUAUACAGUUGUGUACUUAUUCAAGUGCACUACUUCUGUGGCAGAAAAAUAAACUCUCACUUGAUAAGAGACAUAAAUAAGAAUUAGUUUAAAAUGUGAUAAAUAGGAUAUGAGGCAGAAACCAAUGGCUAGGACCUAAUGACUCUAAAUAACUAGGGGACCCAGCAGACCAAUAUACUCUCAUUUGAAGGUGACAGUUCUGGUCGAUUGAAAUUUGGGAAGUAUACUUUAUCAUCACCUCUGAUUCUUUCCUUCACUAAGUGCCCAUCAAUAAGUUUAGAAAACACUGUUUAUGUUGUGGAAAGAUUUCAGUUAGUGCAGGCCUAGCUGCUCACGUGGCUAUUGAUGAUGGCCUUUAUUUUAGGGCUGAGGGGAUAGUAUUGCUUCACAUUUCAUCAUUAACUUGGAAGAUGGGGAGCCACACUUAGGUUUUAUGUUUGCAGUUGACACUGAGCUUUAUCUCUGUAUGUGGUAAAUGGGCAGAAAUGGGGAAAUGGUAAAUAAUGAUUCAGAAAUAGGGAAAGAGGAGAUUGGAGACAGGAAUCACUUGAAAAAUAAGAUGAUGAAAGAAUUAAGAACUAGUUUUGAUGAAUGUAAUGAUGGCUUUCCUACAUUGUAACUAACUGCCUUAAACAAUCUGGUAUUUAAAUCAAUCAAUAAAACACAGAAGGUGAUUUGAACUUUUUAGCAAAAUAUAGCACAUAUGAGUUAGAGUUUCUGGAAGAACCAGACAAAAUCAUCUGUUCUUUCCUCAAUGAAGUACUGGAGUUUCAUUGCCACACUGCCUAUUCACCACUUCUCAGUAAUAUAUGACUUAAUACAAGACUCUAGGAGAUAGUUCAGGAUUUUUCACUACAGAAGUUUCUGAAUAUCACAUUUUAAAAUUUUAUCAGCGAACACCUCCUGAAACUCAGUACCAAAUAAACAACCCCAACAAAAAAUGGGCAAAAGUUCUAAACAGACCCUUCUCCAAAGAAGACAUACAGAUGGCCAAAAAAAACAUGAAAAGAUGUUCAGCAUCACUCAUUAUUAGAGAAAUGCAAAUCAAAACCACUAUGAAGUACCACCUAAAACCAGCCAGAAUGGCCAUCAGCAAUAUCUACAAACAAUAAAUGAUGGAGAGGGUGUGGAAAAAAAGAUCCUUCCUACACUGUUGGUGGGAAUGCAAAUUGGUGCAACCACUAUGGAAAACAGUAUGGAGAUUCCUCAAAAAAUUGAAAAGAAAAUUACCAUUUGAUCCAGCAAUCCCACUCUUGGGCAUCUAUCCAGAGAAAACUAUGAUUCAAUAAUAUACAUAUACCCCAAUGUUUGUUGCAACACUAUAGACAAUAGCCAAGACACAGAAGCAACCUAAAUGUCCAUCAGCAGAAGAGUGGAUAAAGAUGUGGUACAUCAAACAAUGGAAUAUUACUCAGCCAUAAAAAAGGAAUGAAAUAAUGGCAUUCAAAGCAACAUGGAUGGACCUAGAAAUCAUGCUAAGUGAAGUUACUCAGUGAGACACAAACAUCAUAUGCUAUCACUUAUAUGUGGAAUCUAAAAAGAGGAUAGAAUGAACUUAUUUGCAGAAUAGAAACUGACUUACAGACUUGGAAAAACUUAUGGUUACCAAAGGAAGCAGAUUGUGGGAGAGGGAUGGGCUGGGUGUUUGGGAUGGGAAUGUUAUAAAAUUAAGUUGUGAUGAUGGUGGUACAACUAUAAAUAAUAAAAUUCAUGGAGUUAAAAAAUAAAAAUAAAAAAAUUUGCAAAACAAAAACAGUGCCAAAAUUUGGUGUAUAUUUAAUAAAACUUUGCUUGAUUGAAAUGAAUAAAUAAAUAAAUAAAAUGUUAUUAGUAGGUGGUAUAGAUUGGAUCAUGACCCCCAAAAAGAUAUGUUCCAGUUCUAAACCCUGAUGUCUGUGUAUGUGACCUUAUUUGGAAAUAGGGUCUUUAAGGAUAUAAUCAAGUUAAGGUGAGAUCAUACCAGUGUAGGGUGCACCCUAAAUCCUAUGUAACUGGUGUCCUAAUGAAACUGAGCAGGGCUCUAUGGGGCUCCUGGGCACAAAAGCCUAGAAACUGUGUCCUGUAUUUCUUGUUUUUAGGAAAUGAGCCUCAUUCAGCCUCCAUGGCCUUCCCUGAGUUCCAAGGGGCAGGUUCAGACACUUGCUGAUCAGGGAAGGGGGGGGAUGCAAAGACAAGGGAGGAAUAAUCCAGCCACAAUAGUACAGCCCUGAGCCAGGAUCCUGGUUCCACCUCAAGGGAUACACAUGAUGUAGGCAUCUUAUAUACCUAAGAGAAAAGUCAUAUGACUUAUGCUUCUUUCAGAAAUGAUUACUUGAAUACUGAACACCUUGGAGCCCUGCCUUGUGCUUCUCCCUCAUUUGAUUGCAACCUAAACAUAAUUACCUAUAAGCUAAAAAUUAGGCACCCUGAGCAUAAUUGCUUGUUGGUUAAGUAUUAUUAGCACAUGAUCUUUUUCAGGAGCUUCCAUAGUUCGUUCUAAUCGCUGAUCAAUACACCCUUUUCACAAGUGCUGUUAUUCUAGGCAAUAACCCAGAAAACUACCACCAGGACCAUGCAGAGAUCUCUCGCCACCAGCUCUGAUGACAAAGAUUCCCCUGAAGAAUGAAGAAAGCAUGUCUGCAUCCAAAUCUGAUUCUUAUCCAAAACCCUGUUUUUCUCAUUUUAGACUAUAAUACUCCCUGCAUUUCUUCCCCAAAGGAGGGCACAGUCUUUAAGGCAUUAGCCUCUGUGGCUUCCUUUGCCUGGCAAAGCAAUACAGUUGUUUUUUUCUCCUUCACCCAAAACUCUGUCUGCACAUUUCUAUUCCAUACCAGUGGGCAGAGGUUGAGUUUCAGCAACACUUAUAAGAAGAGGAGAAGGAACAGACACAGAAAUGAGAACACCAUGUGAUGACAGAGACAAAAAUUGGAGUUGCAUCUACAAGCCAAGGAAUGCUCCAGAUUGCCAGCAACCACUGGACACUAGGAAAGGGCAGGGAAGAAUCCUCCCUAAGAGCCUUCAGAAAAAGUACGGUACUUCCUACACCUUGAUUUCAUAGUCCAGCCUCCAGAAGUGUGAGAGAAUAAAUUUCUGUUGUUUGAAGCCAUUGUAUUUGUGGUGUUUUGCCAUGGCAACUUAGGAAUCCAUUACAGUAUGUUAUCAAUAAAAG
Molecule: long non-coding RNA, 6037 nt
Filed under: Sus scrofa (pig)
Lineage: Eukaryota; Metazoa; Chordata; Mammalia; Artiodactyla; Suidae
Description: lncRNA (ENSSSCG00030049547.1)
Source: RNAcentral